Ictidomys tridecemlineatus (thirteen-lined ground squirrel) is the source of this 357-nucleotide long non-coding RNA. The record is from Ensembl. Lineage: Eukaryota; Metazoa; Chordata; Mammalia; Rodentia; Sciuridae.
AUCCUUGUCCAGGAUCCUGUGGGACUCGGAAGCCCCUGCUCCUGCAGCUACUGAGCUCAGGAAGGCUGGCCAGACCUGUGUCCCCUUCAGCUGGUGGUGGCCCUGCCGCCAGGGAGCCAGAUGUCUGAAAGAACUCCACAGCCAGACAGGCCGGCUGCGGAACUGGACUUAGUGAGUCUGCCCCGGGUGGAUGGCCUUCGCUGUCCCCGCUGGGCCACUGAGGUCAACACCGUCAUCUCCAAGAGAAUCUGGGACAAGAAAUUAAAUGGGAAGACGUCAAGUCCCUUGCCUGAAGGCUCCAUACCAGUGUCCAGAGGCGGUACUAUGGAUGGCCUCUGGAUAGGAGGCAUUCUCUAG